Molecule: ribosomal RNA, 492 nt
Filed under: uncultured bacterium
Lineage: Bacteria
Description: partial 16S ribosomal RNA
Rfam family: Bacterial small subunit ribosomal RNA
Source: RNAcentral
AGUGAACGCUGGCGGUAGGCCUAACACAUGCAAGUCGAACGGCAGCACAGUAAGAGCUUGCUCUUACGGGUGGCGAGUGGCGGACGGGUGAGGAAUACAUCGGAAUCUACUUUUUCGUGGGGGAUAACGUAGGGAAACUUACGCUAAUACCGCAUACGACCUACGGGUGAAAGCAGGGGAUCUUCGGACCUUGCGCGAUUGAAUGAGCCGAUGUCGGAUUAGCUAGUUGGCGGGGUAAAGGCCCACCAAGGCGACGAUCCGUAGCUGGUCUGAGAGGAUGAUCAGACACACUGGAACUGAGACACGGUCCAGACUCCUACGGGAGGCAGCAGUGGGGAAUAUUGGACAAUGGGCGAAAGCCUGAUCCAGCAAUACCGCGUGGGUGAAGAAGGCCUUCGGGUUGUAAAGCCCUUUUGUUGGGAAAGAAAAGCAGCAGGUUAAUACCCCGCUGUUCUGACGGUACCCAAAGAAUAAGCGCCGGCUAACUUCGUG